Dipodomys ordii (Ord's kangaroo rat) is the source of this 65-nucleotide non-coding RNA. The record is from Rfam. NCBI's taxonomy places the organism in Eukaryota, Metazoa, Chordata, Mammalia, Rodentia, Heteromyidae.
GGUGGCUCAGGGGUAGAGUGCUUGCCUUGCAUGCAUGAGGCCCUGGGUUCGAUUCCUCAGCACCA